This 402-nucleotide ribosomal RNA is filed under the name uncultured bacterium. Its description in RNAcentral is "bacterial SSU rRNA". It matches the Rfam family "Bacterial small subunit ribosomal RNA", at positions 358 to 774 of the family's 1533-position model. The record is from RNAcentral.
GGAAUAUUGGGCAAUGGAGGCAACUCUUACCCAGCAAUGCCGCGUGAAUGAAGAAGGUCUUCGGAUUGUAAAGUUCUUUAAUUGGGGACGAAAAAAAUGACGGUACCCAAGGAAUAAGCCCCGGCUAACUACGUGCCAGCAGCCGCGGUAAUACGUAGGGGGCAAGCGUUGUUCGGAAUGACUGGGCGUAAAGAGGGAGCAGGCGGCCUGGAGGGUCUAUUGUUAAAAGGCAGUGGCUUAACCAUUGAAAGGCGAAGAAACCGGCAGGCUAGAGUUCUAAAGAGGAUCGUGGAAUUCCAUGUGUAGCGGUGAAAUGCGUAGAUAUAUGGAGGAACACCAGUGGCGAAGGCGACGAUCUGGGAAGAAACAGACGCUGAGUCCCGAAAGCGUGGGGAGCAAAUG